This 30-nucleotide non-coding RNA is filed under the name Rattus norvegicus (Norway rat). Lineage: Eukaryota; Metazoa; Chordata; Mammalia; Rodentia; Muridae. The record is from RNAcentral.
UGUGUCGUCAGGUAAACCUACAUUGAUUGC